This is a long non-coding RNA of Oncorhynchus keta (chum salmon), 150 nucleotides long. RefSeq lists it as uncharacterized. Lineage: Eukaryota; Metazoa; Chordata; Actinopteri; Salmoniformes; Salmonidae. The record is from RefSeq and is a predicted model, not a curated record. The transcript is spliced from 3 exons.
UACAUGUGAUUGAGAGAACAGCAGAGAUACAUGUGACUGAGAGAACAGCAGAGAUACAUGUGACUGAUAACAGCAGAGGUACAUGUGACUGAGAGAACAGCAGAGAUACAUGUGACUGAUAACAGCAGAGAUACAUGUGACUGAUAACAG